GAUGAACGCUGGCGGCGUGCCUAAUACAUGCAAGUCGAGCGAACAGACGAGGAGCUUGCUCCUCUGACGUUAGCGGCGGACGGGUGAGUAACACGUGGAUCACCUACCUAUAAGACUGGGAUAACUUCGGGAAACCGGAGCUAAUACCGGAUAACAUGUUGAACCGCAUGGUUCAACAGUGAAAGACGGUCUUGCUGUCACUUCUCGAUGGAUCCGCGCCGCAUUAGCUAGUUGGUAAGGUAACGGCUUACCAAGGCAACGAUGCGUAGCCGACCUGAGAGGGUGAUAGGCCACACGGGAAGUGGAACAGGGUCCAGGCUCCUACGGGAGGCAGCAGUAGGGAAUCGUCCGCAAUGGGCGAAAUCCUUACGGAGCAACGCCGAGUGAGUGGAGAAGAUCUUCGGAUCGGAAAACUCUGUUAUGAGGGAAGAACAAAUGUGUAAGUAACUAUGCACGUCUUGACGGUACCUAAUCAGAAAGCCACGGCUAACUACGUG
This 497-nucleotide ribosomal RNA is filed under the name uncultured bacterium. RNAcentral describes it as "partial 16S ribosomal RNA". It matches the Rfam family "Bacterial small subunit ribosomal RNA", at positions 28 to 507 of the family's 1533-position model. The record is from RNAcentral.